UACGGAGGGUGCAAACGUUGCUCGGAAUCAUUGGGCGUAAAGCGCACGUAGGCGGCCUGUUAAGUCGGAUGUGAAAGCCCCGGGCUCAACCCGGGAAGUGCAUACGAAACGGGCGGGCUUGAAUAUGGAAGAGGGUCGCGGAAUUCCCGGUGUAGAGGUGAAAUUCGUAGAUAUCGGGAGGAACACCAGUGGCGAAGGCGGCCCACUGGUCCGGUACUGACGCUGAGGUGCGAAAGCGUGGGGAGCAAACAGG
RNAcentral lists this ribosomal RNA (253 nucleotides) under uncultured bacterium. Its description in RNAcentral is "partial 16S ribosomal RNA". It matches the Rfam family "Bacterial small subunit ribosomal RNA", at positions 524 to 776 of the family's 1533-position model. The record is from RNAcentral.